AAAUCUGGAGGUGAUGCCAAAGGCAAUGAUCCUCCAGCAACAGGGGUUGUUGGAACAGGGAGACCUGAUGUUGGCUCAUCUUUCGAUAGUCAACCAAUUUCCAAAAUUAGAAGCAAAACAGAAAAAUAUUCUGGUGGUGGCAAUUCAUCUGUUGGCUCGGAGCUCUGCAGGCAAGGACUGGCAAAUGCACUCUUUCUCAACCUGCUGUCGCCGACCUCAGUGAGAUUCUUAUGUUUCUACUUGUAGGUUGGGCCGACGAUGUAGCUUUGCUAGCGA
Molecule: unclassified non-coding RNA, 276 nt
Filed under: Hevea brasiliensis (rubber tree)
Lineage: Eukaryota; Viridiplantae; Streptophyta; Magnoliopsida; Malpighiales; Euphorbiaceae
Source: RNAcentral